AUCGGGCUGUCCAUCAGUUUAAUAACUGGUGAGGAAAGGGCCGGGCAAGACCGGUGCCAGCCGCCGCGGUAAUACCGGCGGCUCGAGUGGUGGCCACUAUUACUGGGCUUAAAGCGUUCGUAGCUGGUUUGUUAAGUCCCUGGGGAAAUCUUCCGGCUUAACCGGAAGGCGUCUCAGGGAUACUGGCAGACUAGGGACCGGGAGAGGUGAGGGGUACUCCAGGGGUAGGAGUGAAAUCCUGUAAUCCUUGGGGGACCACCUGUGGCGAAGGCGCCUCACCAGAACGGCUCCGACAGUGAGGGACGAAAGCUGGGGGAGCAAACCGGAUUAGAUACCCGGGUAGUCCCAGCCGUAAACGAUGCGCGUUAGGUGUAUCGGUGACCACGAGUCACCGAGGUGCCGAAGAGAAAUCGUGAAACGUGCCGCCUGGGAAGUACGGUCGCAAGGCUGAAACUUAAAGGAAUUGGCGGGGGAGCAC
Molecule: ribosomal RNA, 478 nt
Filed under: uncultured archaeon
Lineage: Archaea
Description: bacterial SSU rRNA
Rfam family: Archaeal small subunit ribosomal RNA
Source: RNAcentral